Molecule: ribosomal RNA, 604 nt
Filed under: uncultured bacterium
Lineage: Bacteria
Description: bacterial SSU rRNA
Rfam family: Bacterial small subunit ribosomal RNA
Source: RNAcentral
CCUACGGGAGGGCAGCAGUAAGGAAGUAUUGGUCAAUGGACGCAAGUCUGAACCAGCCAUGCCGCGUGCAGGAUGAAGGCCCUCUGGGUUGUAAACUGCUUUUAUAGGGGACGAAAAAGGGACUUUCUAGUUCAACUGACGGUACCCUAGGAAUAAGCACCGGCUAACUCCGUGCCAGCAGCCGCGGUAAUACGGAGGGUGCAAGCGUUAUCCGGAUUUACUGGGUUUAAAGGGUGCGUAGGUGGGUCGGUAAGUCAGCGGUGAAAUCUUCGAGCUUAACUCGGAAACUGCCAUUGAUACUAUCGACCUUGAAUCAUCUAGAGGUAAGCGGAAUAUGUCAUGUAGCGGUGAAAUGCUUAGAUAUGACAUAGAACACCAAUUGCGAAGGCAGCUUACUAUGGAUGCAUUGACACUGAGGCACGAAAGCUGGGGAUCAAACAGGAUUAGAUACCCUGGUAGUCACGCCCUAAACGAUGGAUACUCGACAUCAGCGAUACACUNUUGGUGUCUGAGCGAAAGCAUUAAGUAUCCACCUGGAGUACGAUGCAAGAUUGAAACCUANAAUGAAUUGACGNNGAGAGAGCGAGGAGACGAGAGGGAGAGG